This 491-nucleotide ribosomal RNA is filed under the name uncultured bacterium. RNAcentral's name for it is "partial 16S ribosomal RNA". It matches the Rfam family "Bacterial small subunit ribosomal RNA", at positions 29 to 506 of the family's 1533-position model. The record is from RNAcentral.
AGUGAACGCUGGCGGUAGGCCUAACACAUGCAAGUCGAACGGCAGCACAGUAAGAGCUUGCUCUUACGGGUGGCGAGUGGCGGACGGGUGAGGAAUACAUCGGAAUCUACUUUUUCGUGGGGGAUAACGUAGGGAAACUUACGCUAAUACCGCAUACGACCUACGGGUGAAAGCAGGGGAUCUUCGGACCUUGCGCGAUUGAAUGAGCCGAUGUCGGAUUAGCUAGUUGGCGGGGUAAAGGCCCACCAAGGCGACGAUCCGUAGCUGGUCUGAGAGGAUGAUCAGCCACACUGGAACUGAGACACGGUCCAGACUCCUACGGGAGGCAGCAGUGGGGAAUAUUGGACAAUGGGCGCAAGCCUGAUCCAGCCAUACCGCGUGGGUGAAGAAGGCCUUCGGGUUGUAAAGCCCUUUUGUUGGGAUAGAAAAGCAGCAGGUUAAUACCCCGCUGUUCUGACGGUACCCAAAGAAUAAGCACCGGCUAACUUCGU